Molecule: ribosomal RNA, 226 nt
Filed under: uncultured bacterium
Lineage: Bacteria
Description: partial 16S ribosomal RNA
Rfam family: Bacterial small subunit ribosomal RNA
Source: RNAcentral
GCGUUGCUCGGAAUGACUGGGCGUAAAGGGCGCGUAGGCGGAUUGAUCAGUCGGACGUGAAAUUCCUGGGCUUAACCUGGGGGCUGCGUUUGAGACGGUUGGUCUAGAGUUUGGAAGAGGGUCGUGGAAUUCCCAGUGUAGAGGUGAAAUUCGUAGAUAUUGGGAAGAACACCGGUGGCGAAGGCGGGUCUCUGGGCAAAUACUGACGCUGAGGAGCGAAAGCAUG